This 167-nucleotide unclassified non-coding RNA is filed under the name uncultured Trichoderma. Its description in RNAcentral is "sequence contains ITS1". The record is from RNAcentral. Lineage: Eukaryota; Fungi; Ascomycota; Sordariomycetes; Hypocreales; Hypocreaceae.
CCGAGUUUACAACUCCCAAACCCAAUGUGAACGUUACCAAACUGUUGCCUCGGCGGGAUCUCUGCCCCGGGUGCGUCGCAGCCCCGGACCAAGGCGCCCGCCGGAGGACCAACCAAAACUCUUGUAUUUGAAUUGAGUAUUCUCUGAGUGAUACAAGCAAUAAAUUA